This 508-nucleotide ribosomal RNA is filed under the name Acremonium alternatum. RNAcentral describes it as "eukaryotic LSU rRNA". The stretch from base 179 to 332 matches the Rfam family "5.8S ribosomal RNA". Lineage: Eukaryota; Fungi; Ascomycota; Sordariomycetes; Hypocreales; Bionectriaceae. The record is from RNAcentral.
UAACCUGCGGAGGGAUCAUUACCGAGUGUAAAAACUCCCAAACCAUUGUGAACUUACCACUGUUGCUUCGGCGGCCUCGCCCCGGGCGCGUUCGCGCGGCCCGGACCCAGGCGUCCGCCGGAGGCUCCAAACUCUUGUCUUUUAGUGUAUUUCUGAGUGGCAUAAGCAAAUAAAUCAAAACUUUCAGCAACGGAUCUCUUGGUUCUGGCAUCGAUGAAGAACGCAGCAAAAUGCGAUAAGUAAUGUGAAUUGCAGAAUUCAGUGAAUCAUCGAAUCUUUGAACGCACAUUGCGCCCGCCAGUAUUCUGGCGGGCAUGCCUGUCUGAGCGUCAUUUCAACCCUCAGGACCCGUUCGCGGGACCUGGCGUUGGGGAUCAGCCUGCCCCUGGCGGCGGCUGGCCCUGAAAUCCAGUGGCGGUUCCCUCGCGAACUCCUCCGUGCAGUAAUUAAACCUCUCGCGGCAGGAUAGCGGUUGAACCACGCCGUUAAACCCCCCACUUCUCAAGGU